Long non-coding RNA from Brachypodium distachyon (stiff brome), 1002 nucleotides. RefSeq lists it as uncharacterized. The transcript has 2 exons. Lineage: Eukaryota; Viridiplantae; Streptophyta; Magnoliopsida; Poales; Poaceae. The record is from RefSeq and is a predicted model, not a curated record.
GAACCGAAAGCUCUACCUUUCUUUCUCUCUGGGAGUGAGUGAGUGAGUGAGUUGAGGGUGGGGGUUCCGAGGCAUUUGGAAUCUUUGGAUACUGUGCAGCACCAGCGACCAGCGUGCGUGUCGAGCCCGUGCUCUUUCUGCUUUGCUUUGCUUUCGCGGUACUAGGCACGAGAAGGAAUGUUUUCAACCUUGAACCAUCCCAUAGAUGCCAAGCAGGGCAUGCCAUUGAUGAUGGUGGAGGCGUAAUUUGUUUUCGGGGGUUGCCGUCCUUGCACAAUGCAACAACAUUGCUAUUUGGGCUUCCAAAAAUACCCCAUUGCAUGGUCUGGCCGGGCCUCAAUGAAUUGAAAGACUUGAUUGUUCGCUAGCUAGCCCACCGAAUUUGACUCCAAACCGGUAUGCUCCCAAAUCCGAUCGGGACUAGAGCUUCAACAAAAGUACAAAACAAUGUACAAAUUACUCUCUCAAACAAUGUACAAAUAUUUCUCAGGAAAAAAAACAAUCUACAAAUCGCACCCAAAUCCGAUCAUGGCCGACGUGGAGAACCCUGGGCUCUUUUUCUUCCUCGUGGGUGACUGGGACGCCGGGAACCCAGAGGGAACGAGGAUCGUAGACAGCUUGUUGCAAUGUAGCCCCCUUACUUGAUCUCUCCGGCCGGGACCUCACAACGUGGUCCGUCUACUUAGUUCCAUCUUACGUGCUUUCACGAAGAAGACGAGGGGAUGAGUGAGGAAAUAAAAAGAAAAAUGCAAAGGGUUCGACAGAAAAGACGAAGCGCCCGACACCUGUGGUUCUGCGAAGAAAUUUUGCAGAAAUGUUGCCUUGUGAAAAGACUGCCUCAAAAACUGCUUUUCUAUGAAAUGUAAACCAGCAAUACGUCGAGAUAUGUUAGCCCCGAACGCGCGUACCACACAGCCAAAAACAGUUCUCUUGUUCCAUUUGUGUAUAUACAAAUAAUUUGAUCUAUCAUCUAAUUAACCCUAGUCAACGCAAGUCCACACG